This 490-nucleotide ribosomal RNA is filed under the name uncultured bacterium. RNAcentral describes it as "bacterial SSU rRNA". It matches the Rfam family "Bacterial small subunit ribosomal RNA", at positions 33 to 518 of the family's 1533-position model. The record is from RNAcentral.
ACGCUGGCGGCGUGCUUAACACAUGCAAGUCGAACGGGGGAUAGCGACGGAAGUCCUUCGGGGUGGAAGAUGCUAUUCGAGUGGCGGACGGGUGAGUAACGCGUGACCAAUCUGUCCCAGACAGGGGGAUAACACUUGGAAACAGGUGCUAAUACCGCGUGAGACCACGAGGUCGCAUGGCCUUGAGGUAAAAGGAGCGAUCCGGUUUGGGGUGAGUUCGCGUCCGAUUAGCCAGUUGGCGGGGUAACGGCCCACCAAAGCGACGAUCGGUAGCCGAUCUGAGAGGAUGACCGGCCACAUUGGAACUGAGAGACGGUCCAAACUCCUACGGGAGGCAGCAGUGGGGAAUAUUGGGCAAUGGGCGAAAGCCUGACCCAGCAACGCCGCGUGAGUGAAGAAGGCCUUCGGGUUGUAAAGCUCUGUUAUAGGGGACGAAGGAAGUGACGGUACCCUAUAAGGAAGCCCCGGCUAACUACGUGCCAGCCGCCGC